Molecule: ribosomal RNA, 1944 nt
Filed under: Triticum aestivum (bread wheat)
Lineage: Eukaryota; Viridiplantae; Streptophyta; Magnoliopsida; Poales; Poaceae
Description: partial small subunit ribosomal RNA
Source: RNAcentral
AUGAGCGCUCCCCCCUCCUCCUCCCCCUCCCCCGCUCCGAUCCCCCAGCCCGCCGCAACCCUAGCCCCCGCCAGCAUGCGCGGCGCGGCGGCGGACGACGACUCCUCCGGCUCGUCGCCGUCGCGGAUGUCGGAGGACGACGACGACGGCGACGGCGGGGCGGGACGGGGCGACAGGUGGGCGCCGGAUCUGAGGGGCGGCAACGGCAACGGCGGGAGGUGGGCGCCGCCGGACCAGGUGCUGGAGAACGUGCUGGAGAGCGUGCUCGAGUUCCUCACGGCGGCGCGCGACCGCAACGCGGCCUCGCUCGUCUGCCGCUCCUGGUACCGCGCCGAGGCGCAGACCCGCCGCGAGCUCUUCAUCGGCAACUGCUACGCCGUCUCGCCGCGCCGCGCCGUCGAGCGCUUCGGGGGCGUGCGCGCCGUCGUGCUCAAGGGGAAGCCCCGCUUCGCCGACUUCAGCCUCGUGCCGCACGGCUGGGGCGCCUACGUCUCCCCCUGGGUCGCCGCGCUCGGCCCCGCCUACCCGCGCCUCGAGCGCAUCUGCCUCAAGCGGAUGACCGUCUCCGACGACGAGCUCGCGCUCAUCCCCAAGUCCUUCCCGCUCUUCAAGGAGCUCUCGCUCGUCUGCUGCGACGGCUUCACCACCCGCGGCCUCGCCGUCAUCGCCGAGGGCUGCCGGCAUCUUCGGGUACUGGAUCUGACUGAAGAUUAUUUCCAUGAGGAGGAGAGCGAGGUGGUGGAUUGGAUCUCCAAGUUUCCAGAGAGCAACACGUCGCUGGAAUCGCUUGUAUUUGAUUGUGUUAGUGUCCCAUUCAACUUUGAGGCCCUGGAGGCACUUGUUGCACGCUCACCAGCUCUGCGUCGUCUGCGCGUCAAUGAUCAUGUGUCGAUAGAGCAGUUGCGUCGUCUCAUGGCAAGGGCACCCCAUCUAACUCACCUUGGCACUGGAUCAUUCCGAUCUGAGCCAGGCCCUGGGGGUGCUUUGUCUGUGUCUGAGCUCGCUACCUCUUUCGCGGCGUCCAGAUCACUUGUUUGUUUGUCAGGUUUCUUGGAUGCCAAUGCAGCAUACCUCCCAGCAAUCUACCAAGUUUGUGCCAAUCUCACUUCCCUCAAUUUUAGCUUUGCGGGUCUAACAGAUGAAGAGUUCAUACCAGUUAUUCGCCAUUGCAUCAAUCUUCGCACUUUAUGGGUUCUUGAUACUGUGGGUGAUGAAGGCCUUAGGGCUGUGGCUGAAACAUGCUCAAAUCUCCGUGAGCUACGUGUUUUUCCUCUGGAUGCCACCGAGGAUUCUGAGGGCUCAGUCUCAGAUAUUGGUCUCCAGGCAAUCUCAGAAGGCUGCCGAAAGCUCGAAUCAAUUCUCUACUUUUGCCAGCGCAUGACAAAUGCAGCAGUAAUUGCUAUGUCCGAGAACUGCCCUGACCUUUUGGUGUUCCGCCUCUGUAUUAUGGGCCGCCACCGCCCUGAUCGGAUUACCGGGGCGCCCAUGGAUGAGGGUUUUGGGGCGAUUGUGAUGAACUGCAAGAAGCUCACCAGACUCUCAGUCUCUGGCCUGCUCACUGAUAAGGCGUUUGCAUACAUUGGGAGACACGGAAAACUCAUAAAGACUCUGUCUGUUGCCUUUGCUGGGAAUAGUGACAUGUCUCUUCAGCAUGUGUUUGAGGGGUGCACUAGGUUGCAGAAGCUCGAGGUCAGAGAUAGCCCUUUUGGCGACAAAGGAUUGCUCUCUGGCCUGAACUAUUUUUACAACAUGAGGUUCUUUUGGAUGAACUCAUGCAGGCUAACUGUGAAGGGUUGUGGGGAUGUAGCUCAGCAAAUGCCUAAUCUGGUGGUUGAAGUAAUGAAGGAAAAUGAAGGGGAAAUGGAUACCGUUGAUAAGCUGUACCUGUAUCGAUCGUUGGCAGGACCAAGGGAAGAUGCUCCAUCAUUUGUCAACAUCUUGUAG